CCUACGGGAGGCAGCAGUGGGGAAUUUUCCGCAAUGGGCGAAAGCCUGACGGAGCAAUACCGCGUGAGGGAGGAAGGCUCUUGGGUCGUAAACCUCUUUUCUCAGGGAAGAAGAAAGUGACGGUACCUGAGGAAUAAGCAUCGGCUAACUCCGUGCCAGCAGCCGCGGUAAUACGGAGGAUGCAAGCGUUAUCCGGAAUGAUUGGGCGUAAAGGGUCCGCAGGUGGCUGUGUAAGUCUGCUGUUAAAGAGUCAUGCUUAACAUGAUAAGAGCAGUGGAAACUACAUAGCUAGAGUACGUUCGGGGCAGAGGGAAUUCCUGGUGUAGCGGUGAAAUGCGUAGAUAUCAGGAAGAACACCGGUGGCGAAAGCGCUCUGCUAGGCCGUAACUGACACUGAGGGACGAAAGCUAGGGGAGCGAAUGGGAUUAGAUACCCCAGUAGUCCUAGCCGUAAACGAUGGAUACUAGGCGUGGCUUGUAUCGACCCGAGCCGUGCCGUAGCUAACGCGUUAAGUACUCCCGCCGUGGGGAGUACGCACGCAAGUGAGAAACUCAAAGGAUUAGACGGCNGAGACGNGCGACGACGACGACGAGGGAGAGG
RNAcentral lists this ribosomal RNA (600 nucleotides) under uncultured bacterium. RNAcentral's name for it is "bacterial SSU rRNA". It matches the Rfam family "Bacterial small subunit ribosomal RNA", at positions 338 to 956 of the family's 1533-position model. The record is from RNAcentral.